GGAGUCCGUGCGUCCCCCUCCUGUCCCUCAGCCCUGGGGGCACGACGCAGCUACCGGGGUGGGGCUGAUGGCCCCAGAUUAGGGUCACUUCUGUCCCAGUGCCCUGGCCCGUAUCUAUGUUUCUAAAACUGAUGGCAGCCCGAACCCAGGACGUGGGCUCUCCCCACCACCCUGCAUGGACUUGCCCAAUAAAUUCCACUUAGUAAUUUCACCGAGGCGAGGGAGAGCUGUUAGUGUCUGUUUUCUGACCUAAAUCAAGCGGGUGGCCAGGACGGGCUUCAAUGGAUAGAGAGGAGAGCUUGUUGGCUUAGGGAAAGACCCAGAGGAGGGACUCGCACUCGGGACGGGGUAGGCAAGCACGGUCUUAGUUUUCUGCAGGGCUUUCUCGGAGCCUGUUUGCCCUCUUCAGGCUACGUCGCCUGGUCGUGGAAUGGCUGAGGUUGGAAGGUGCCUUUCCUCCUAAACUCCCUACAUUUUGUUCAGGGCCACUUAGAGGGAUCAUAUGGCAGUCGUGGCUUCCCUCAAGGCCCAGGGUUGGUUUCAAGGCUUUCUGUCCUGUGGUCAUCCAGGGCAGAAAGAGGCUGGCAGGAUGCAACGACGCUGAGAAAUGCUGUUUUACUGGACCGUGGGGCUAGGUGCAUGAAUGCAACUCACAUGGCUCACGGAAAAGCCAAGAACAGGCAGCGGGUUCGAAAAGCUUGCCACAGAGUUCGCAGAGAUUCCUCUUGCCUUCCCACGAUGCCAGGAUCGCAAGUGCCCCGAAUUUGCUCUUCUAACAGAGUCGUGUUUGUUGAUGGAAUGACCGACCGGCUUGCUGACAAAGAGGGGGCGCCAAAGGAGGGACAGAUCUAGGCCCUUCUUUGGCAUUUCGAAGAAGCUGGGGGCGACACGAGAUGUUGAGUGCUUUGGAUCGGCCACAUGGAAGGAGCAGGGUGA
Peromyscus maniculatus bairdii (prairie deer mouse) is the source of this 936-nucleotide non-coding RNA. Lineage: Eukaryota; Metazoa; Chordata; Mammalia; Rodentia; Cricetidae. The record is from RefSeq and is a predicted model, not a curated record.